Molecule: long non-coding RNA, 2718 nt
Organism: Dreissena polymorpha
Lineage: Eukaryota; Metazoa; Mollusca; Bivalvia; Myida; Dreissenidae
Exons: 4
Source: RefSeq, a predicted model, not a curated record
CAAUGAGCGAACCAGCCAAAACAGAGGGAGAGAUAAACGCGUGAGACAGCCAUCUAAAAGAAUGUUGUUGUAUUCUCAGGACACAGAUUCAGAUUCAAGUCUACAGAAGAGUUAAGGAAAGCGUCCUGCCAGAAAGAUCCAGAAAGUUGAUACAUUAGCAACAAUAACUAAGGGGACACUGGAACGCCAUAGCACGUCUGACGAUGAGAUGACUGUCGGUGCUGGAUAGGAUGACCCUCUACAGUCAGCAGCAGUAUUGACAAGAUGUGUUUUCCUUUUAUGCAGAGACACUAGAAGAUGUCAAUAAAUCUUUCAGACAUGCUGCAUACAGACAAUUUACCAUCUUAAUGCAUGGGAAACCGACUGGUGGAGACAGAAUAACUGUCCCAGCAUGUUGUGUUAAAUUAAUAAGGGAGAAGUUUGCUAGUCCUUAAGCCCAGUAUACAGGCUUCGUACCAGGUGAAGGCCCAGUGUUCUAAUAAUUUUGCAUAUUUAUGCCCCCCUUCGAAGAAGAAGGGGUAUAUAGUUUUGCACAUGUCGGUCCGUCCACCAGAUGGUUUCGGGAUGAUAACUUAAGAACGCUUAGGCCUAGGAUCAUGAAACUUCAUAGGUACAUUGAUCAUGACUGGCAAAUAACCCCUAUUGAUUUUCAGGUCACUAGGUCAAAGGUCAGUGACUCGAAACAGUAAAGCGGUUUCCGGAUGAUAACUCAAGAAUGCUUACGCCUAGGAUCUUGAAACUUCAUAGGUACAUUGAUCACGACUGGCAGAUGACCCCUUUAGAUUUUCCGGUCACAAGGUCAAAGGUCAAGGUCACAGUGACUCAAAACAAUAAAAUGGUUUCCAGCUGAUAACUCUAGAAUGCUUACGCCUUUUGAUCAUGAAACUUCAUAGCUACAUUGAUAAUGACUGGCAGAUGACCCCUUUUGAUUUUCAGGUCACUAGGUCAAGGUCACAGUGACUCGAAAUAGUAAAAUGGUUUCCUGAUGAUAACUCAAGAAUAAUUAGGCCUAGGAUCAGGAAACUUAAUAGGUACAUUGAUCAUGACUGACAGAUGACCCCUAUAUAUUUUCAGGUCACUAUGUCAAAGGUCAAGGUCACAGUGACAAAAAACGUACUCACACAAUGGCUGCCACUACAACUGACAGCCCAUAUGGGGGGGGGCAUGCAUGUUUUGCAAACAGCCCUUGUUGCUAUUCUUUUUCAUUUAUCAGACAUAGAACUUUUCUUAGUUUUGAUUAUUUUUUGUUCUGGCUCCUUUUUUGAAACAUUUAUAUUUAUGAAAAUCAUUUGAGUUAUGCUUAAUCAUUUGGAUUUUUCAGUUCUAUGCAUUUUGUUUUGAAAUACCAAUUUUUGUGAAAUGUGCUAGUUUAUUAUUAAAACUUGCACAGCAGUUUUUACAUGUGUAUGCUUACUUUGGUGUCAUUUGAAUGAUAUGCCACGAGUACUCUGGAUUGUAAGAUGAAAUAAAUAAAAGAAGCAAUGACAUAUUUCUUAAGAAUGCUAUGUAAAUAAACUAAUUGAAUAUCAAAAUUCAUUUCUUGUAUACUUAUUUUAUUUUCUUGUUUGAACUUAAUAGUUUGAUUUUUACACUUUUUAGCUCACCUGAACACAAUGUGCUCAUGGUGAGCUUUUGUGAUCGCCUUUUGUCUGUCGUGCGGCGUCUACAUUUGCCUUGUUAACACUCUACAGCCGUACAGGCCACAUUUAUUGCCCAAUCUAAAUGAAAUUUGUCAAAAGAUUGGUCUCAAGGAUAUUUUGGAUGAGUUCAAAAAUGGUAACGUUUGCUUGAAAAGACCGUUCAUAAAAAACAGUCAAUAGUGUAUUACCUGUUUUUAUUUUUUUAUAUCUUUUGCUUUUAUUGAAUUUUAAGUUUGCAUUUUGAUUUUUUUAUUAUGCCCCCCUUCGAAGAAGAGGAGGUAUGUUGUUCGCUCAUGUCGGUCGGUCGGUGUGUCCGUCCACCGAAUGGUUUCCGGAUUAUAACUCAAGAACGCUUACGCCUAGGAUCAUGAAACUUCAUAGGUACAUUGAUCAUGACUGGCAGAUGACCCCUAUUGAUUUUUAGGUCACUAGGUCAAAGGUCAAGGUUACGGUGACUCGCACAGAAAAAUGGUUUCCGGAUGAUAACUCAAGAACGCUUAAGCCUAGGAUCAUGAAACUAAAUAGGUACAUUGAUCAUGACUCGCAGAUGACCGCUAUUGAUUUUCAGGUCACUAGGUCAAGGUGACUCGACACAGUAAAAUAGUUUCCGGAUGAUAACUCAAGAAAGCUUACGCCUAGGAUCAUGAAACUUCAUAGGUUCAUUGAUCACGACUCGCAGAUGACCCCUAUUGAUUUUCAGGUCACUAGGUCAAAGGUCACAGUGACAAAAAACGUAUCACACAAUGGCUGCAACUACAACUGACAGCCCAUAUGGGGGGCAUGCAUGUUUUACAAACAGCCCUUGUUUAUUUUUAUUUUGAGUCAUUUUGUUUCACACUUGAUAUUUUGUUAGAUUAGGUUUCUUAAAAUACAUUUCAAACAUGACAUAUGCUAAUGCAUGAAUUAACAUUUUGAAAUCAAUAAAAAAGCAACAAGUUUUAAAUUAAAAAAAAUAGUAUCUUAUUAUUGUUCAACCAUGUUUUGUAUAUUGUGUGCUUUCUUUAUGUAGUAACCUGUGCAGACCGUCUACAUUUUAGCUCAGCCGAGUUUUUCCUAUCAAAUAAAUUGAUAUACAAUU